This 492-nucleotide ribosomal RNA is filed under the name uncultured bacterium. RNAcentral's name for it is "partial 16S ribosomal RNA". It matches the Rfam family "Bacterial small subunit ribosomal RNA", at positions 29 to 507 of the family's 1533-position model. The record is from RNAcentral.
AGUGAACGCUGGCGGUAGGCCUAACACAUGCAAGUCGAACGGCAGCACAGUAAGAGCUUGCUCUUACGGGUGGCGAGUGGCGGACGGGUGAGGAAUACAUCGGAAUCUACUUUUUCGUGGGGGAUAACGUAGGGAAACCUACGCUAAUACCGCAUACGACCUACGGGUGAAAGCAGGGGAUCUUCGGACCUUGCGCGGUUGAAUGAGCCGAUGUCGGAUUAGCUAGUUGGCGGGGUAAAGGCCCACCAAGGCGACGAUCCGUAGCUGGUCUGAGAGGAUGAUCAGCCACACUGGAACUGAGACACGGUCCAGACUCCUACGGGAGGCAGCAGUGGGGAAUAUUGGACAAUGGGCGCAAGCCUGAUCCAGCCAUACCGCGUGGGUGAAGAAGGCCUUCGGGUUGUAAAGCCCUUUUGUUGGGAAAGAAAAGCAGCAGGUUAAUACCACGCUGUUCUGACGGUACCCAAAGAAUAAGCACCGGCUAACUUCGUG